CAAGAGCCCGGUCGCCCUGGCAGCCUUCGACGGCUUCUUCUCUGCUUAACGAGUAGUGUGUGAAUUGAUUCGGAGGAGUUUACCUCUCCCCCAGUGUCAUGUACUGUAACUCCGAUGUGUACAUAACCGUGUGGUUUGCUGAUUUGCAACAAGGAAGAAGUGUGCUUUUUGUACCGCUCUUGGUACCUUCUUGGAGGGCAGAUAUGCCUAUGCGUUUUGCCAUUUUAUCUUUGAAAUUUCGUGUCAAGCUGCCAACAGACUAGUCUGGUUGUCUUGGCAUACUCGAGUGGUUUUGCCGACUGCUGAUGCUUGUUUGAAGCCCCAACCUUCAUCCAAUCCCUUCAAAUCUUUAUUUAUCCCUAAUACAUUAGGUAGAAGUAGUGUAUUGAGUAUUGAGAAAAAUGCAUUAUAAUUUGAGGAGAAAUAUGGGGAUGAAACAUGUCAAAUACACUAGAAUAAAAUGGUGUUAUGGGAUGUGUGGUGAUCGAGUAGUUUGACCAGAAUAAUCCCCAUAAAUUUCCUAAAAUACACUAGUACCAACGAGUAGUUUGACCAGAAUAAUCCCCAUAAAUUUCCUAAAAUACACUAGUACCAAACAAGUCCUUGAUGGUGGCACCCCGACACAGCAAUAGCUCAUCAUAUGAAACCAAAAUGGGGUUAUUAUGGCCCGGUUUAAAGGCGUUAAACAGGGAUGCAAACAUGUUCGCCAAAUCAGCGGCGAUGAGGACCGAAGACCGCCGCGUCAAGUGGCAGGGCUGAAACCGCAUCACCUCCAUACAGGUUUACUAGAUGUGAGAAAAUUCGUUUGGUAGCGUACACGGAGGUCUAGUUUGCACUCACACGAAUCAUAAAGCAGCUCAUAGCAUGGCUAGUUAGAGCAUCUUCAACAAACGAGGCUGGGCGCGCGUAACGACCGUUUUUGCGACGCUGCAAAUUUUUAACACGUCAACAUGUCGCUUCAACAGACGCUAUAACAAAUCAAGCGCGCGUUCAGCUGAUGCACAUAUAAGAUGAUCAAACAUUCAAAAUAUGCAAAGUUUGCACAAACAAAAUGAGCACAAGCAAGUUCAUGACAAACAAGUUCACACAAAUAAAUUAAACAUGAACAAUCAUUCUUCAUCCUCUUCUUUCCGCAAAAAAGAAAAAUUCUUUAUCCUCUUCCUCAUCGUUGGCCUCUUUCGAUUUGUCCGUUUCUUCUUCUGAUUUUUCAUCCUCUUGUUUGUUCUCUUUCUCAUUGAAAAGUCGAAUGGUGUUUGAACUAUCAAUAAAGUAGCAGUUCAUAGCAUGGCUAGUUAGAGCAUCUUCAACAAACGAGGCUAGGCACGCGUAACGACCGUUUUUGUGCUUCAUCAGACGCUGCAAAUUUUUAACACGUCAACAGACGCUAUAACAAAUCAAGCGCGCGUUCAGCUGACGCACAUAUAAGAUGAUCAAACAUUCAAAAUAUGCAAAGUUUGCACAAACAAAAUAAGCACAAGCAAGUUCAUGACAAACAAGUUCACACAAAUAAAUUAAACAUGAACAAUCAUUCUUCAUCCUCUUCUUUCUGCAAAAAAAAUAAUUCUUUAUCCUCUUCCUCAUCGUUGGCCUCUUUCGAUUUGUCCGUUUCUUCUUCUGAUUUUUCAAUCUCUUGUUUGUUCUCCUUUUCAUUGAAAAGUCGAACGGUGUUUGAACUAUCAAUAAAGGUAUCAUACAAGGCAUGUGAGGCACACCGAAAACUCCCAUCCAUCCAUGCCAUCGAAAGCAUGUGAGAACAACUAUGCCAUCGAAAGCAUGUGAGAACAACUAAAAUCAGACUACAUAUGCGCACAUUUGCCAACAACAACAAAAUAAAAACAAAAAUUGUACCUUGUGAGCAUUUCAUCAAGGAUUAUGUGUGCAUUGGCCGCCGACGCAACAAAUUGCGAGGUUUUCACCGCUUCGCGCGGCGGAGGUACGGCCGGCUUCACUCGUGUCUUCUUCUUUAUUACCGCUUUCCNNNNNNNNNNNNNNNNNNNNNNNNNNNNNNNNNNNNNNNNNNNNNNNNNNNNNNNNNNNNNNNNNNNNNNNNNNNNNNNNNNNNNNNNNNNNNNNNNNNNUUGAGGGCCAAGGCAGGAGAGCCACACGGGGCCCACAAGCCCUGUAGCCGCCACCACGGGGGGGGGGGGCUACCAGUCUUGUGGACCCCCUGGAGCUCCCCUGCCCUAGCUCUUUCGCCUAUAAAUUCCCUAAAAUCCCAGAAAAAAAUCAGGGCAUCCACGAAAACACUUUUCCGCCGCCGCAAGCUUCCGUUUCCGCGAUAUCUCAUCUGGAGACCCUUCCCGGUGCCCUGCCGAAGGGGACUUUGGAGUUGGAGGGCUUCUACAUCAACAUCAUCACCUCUCCAAUGACUCGUGAGUAGUCCACUUCAGACCUACACGUCCGUAGCUAGUAGCUAGAUGGAUUCUUCUCUCUCUUGGAUCUUCAAUACAAAGUUCUCCAUGAUCUUCAUGGAGAUCUAUCCUAUGUAAUCCUCUUUGGUGGUGUGUUUGUCGAGAUCCGAUGAAUUGUGGAUUUGUGAUCAGAUUAUCUAUGAAUUGUAUUUGAGUCUUUGCUGAUUUCUUAUAUGAUGAUUUGAUAUCCUUGUAAGUCUCUCCGAGUCUUGGUUUUGUUUGGCCAACUAGAUCUAUGAUUCUUGCAAUGGGAGAAGUGCUUGGUUUUGGGUUCAUACCGUGUGGUGACCUUUCCCAGUGACAGAAGGGGCAGCAAGGCACACAUCAUGUUGUUGCCAUCAAGGGUAAUAAGAUGGGCUUUUAUCAUAGAUAUGAGAUUGUCCAUCUACAUCAUGUCAUCUUGCUUAAGGCGUUACUCUGUUCUUAUGAACCUAAAACACUAGAUGCAUGCUGGAUAGCGGUCGACGUGUGGAGUAAUAGUAGUAGAUGCAGAAAGUAUCGGUCUACUUGCUUUGGACGUGAUGCCUAUAGAUAUAAUCAUUGCCAUAGAUAACAUCACGACUUUGCGCGGUUCUAUCAAUUGCUCGACAGUAAUCCGUUCACCCACGGUCUAAUUGCUUUCAUGAGAGAAGCCACUAGUGAACACCACGGCCCCGGGUCUAUCCAUAACUAUCGUCUCCACUUCCACUUUUACUUUGCUUUUUUACCUUUUUGCUUUCAGUUCUCACUUUGCAAACAAUCUAUAAGGGAUUGACAACCCCUUCAUAGCGUUGGGUGCAAGCUCUUUGUGUUUGUGCAGGUACUUGUGACUCGACGCGAUCCUCCCACUGGAUCGAUACCUUGGUUCUCAAACUGAGGGAAAUACUUACCGCCGCUGUGCUACAUCACCCUUUCCUCUUCAAGGGAACACCAACACAAGGCUCCAAGGCCGCGGGGAAAUCCUUUGCAUAUUUGCCAAGGAAGUCCCUAUAGGCGUAGCCAGUAGCAGCAGGAUUCCUGGCGCCGUUGUCAGGGAAGGUCUGUUGUCACAGUAGCAGAAGGAUUUCUAGAGCCGUUGCCGGGGAGGAGGAUCGCUUGCCGAGGAGUAUCAAGACAAGAAUAAUCUCCCGUCAACACGCCUAUUUCUAGCAUGGGGAAGGGAGAUCAAGUCAAGAUCUAUCAAAGUAGGUGUCACAAACUCAUCUCUUGCAUUUACUUUUUUUGCCAGUUGCCUCUCGUUUUCCUCUCCCCCACUUCACAUUUGCCGUUUUCAUUUGCCUUUCUCCUUUGCCGUUUUAUUUUUCCUUUUCUCCUUUGCCGUUUUCAUUUGCCUUUCUCCUUUGCCGUUUUCUUUUUUCCUUUUGCCGUUCUCUUUUGCCCGUUUCACUCACUUUCUUCCUGCUCGUUUGUGUGUGGGAUAGUCCAUCAAUGGCUAGACCCACCACUCCAAACGAUACCCCUGAGAACGAAGUUCUCAGUUUCAAGCAGAAUGAGGAAGAAAAUUUAAAGGACACUUGGUACAGGAUUUGCAAUGCUCAAAGUAGAUCUACUCGUAAGCAGUCCACUACCGUUCUUCUUCGCAGUUCUUAUGUUGGAAUCUCUCCUUGGAAUAGGUAUAUUCUUGAUACCAUCGUAGGCGGGAAUUUUUUGGGGAUCCAUACCGUUGACUCCUAUGGAGCUAUCAUGAAUUUGGUAGGCUCACCCCCGCUCAUGGUUAAUGGAACUACCUUGACCUUGGAACACGUGAUGCAAAGGCUUGACGCUAUUGAAAACAAAAUUGCCACAAUUGAAUUUAUUGAGGGUUUGGAUGGAAAGAUCCACAAUCAAAUUACUCAGUACGGAUCCAAAGUGGGAAUGGUUUUGAAAAAUUUAAGGGAGAAGGAACCUAUAGUUAAUGAUUCCUCUAGAAUUGGCAAACUAGAAGAUGUCAUAACCAACUUGGGUUGUGCUUUUGCCGCUGUGCAAAAUACUCCAAAUCUCACUCUCAAAAAGACCGUCAAGUCUGUUUUUGUUCCUAAAGCUAGUGGUGAGUCAUCCAAUAAAUAUGAAGACCUUAAGAUGAUAAAUGAUCACGCUACUUAUGGUUUGAGCACCAAAGAUGACUAUACGUGAUUCCAUCACCUUUUGCCUAGCUAAGGGCGUUAAACAAUAGCGCAUGUUGGGAGGCAACCCAACGAAUCUAUCAUUUUUCUUUCUAUUUUGUGUUUUCCACACUUUCAUAAUUCUGUUAUGAUUGUGUUUUUUGUGUUUCUUUUUGCGUUUGUGCCAAGUGAAACCGUUAUGAUUAAUCUUGGGGAUGAUCGUUUGGUCAUGCUGGAAAAGACAGAAACUUUCUGUUAACGAAAAGAAUUUUCAUUUUUUUUAUGUAAGAGAUUUUGAGUUGAUUCUUUUUUGCUUCUGAUUGCUACGCACAUUCUUCAGACUGUUGUAAUUUUUCAGAAUUUUGGAAGUACCAGAAGUAUACGAAGUAUACAGAUUGCUACAGACUGGUCUGCUGUUAACAGAUUCUGUUUUUGUUGAGUUGGUUGCUUAUUUUGAUGAAACUAUGGAUAGUACCGGGGGGUAUUAGCCAUGGAAGAUUGAAAAUACAGUAACCCAACAUCAACAUAAGUAGAAUUUAUUAAGUUUUCUACAGUACCUAAGGAAGUGGUGGUUUGCUUUCUUAUACUAAUGAUAUCACGAGUUUCUGUUUAAAUUUCGUGUUGUGAAGUUUUCAAGUUUUGGGUGAAGUUCUUAUGGACAAAGAGAUAAAGAGUGGCAAGAUCUCAAGCUUGGGGAUGCCCAAGGCACCCCAAGUUGAUUCAAGGAUGCCGUAAAAGCCUAAGCUUGGGGAUGCCCCGGGAAGGCAUCCCCUNNNNNNNNNNNNNNNNNNNNNNNNNNNNNNNNNNNNNNNNNNNNNNNNNNNNNNNNNNNNNNNNNNNNNNNNNNNNNNNNNNNNNNNNNNNNNNNNNNNNUUGAGGGCCAAGGCAGGAGAGCCACAGGGGGCCCACAAGCCCUGUAGCCGCCACCAGGGGGGCCGGCGGCUACCAGGCUUGUGCCCGCCUGGAGCUCCCCUGCCCUAGCUCUUUCGCCUAUAAAUUCCCUAAAAUCCCAGAAAAUAUUAGGGCAUCCACGAAAACACUUUUCCGCCGCCGCAAGCUUCCGUUUCCGCGAGAUCUCAUCUGGAGACCCUUCUCGGUGCCCUGCCGGAGGGGACUUUGGAGUUGGAGGGCUUCUACAUCAACAUCAUCGCCUCUCCAAUGACUCGUGAGUAGUCCACUUCAGACCUACGGGUUCGUAGUUAGUAGCUAGAUGGCUUCUUCUCUCUCUUGGAUCUUCAAUACAAAGUUCCCCAUGAUCUUCAUGGAGAUCUAUCCGAUGUAAUCCUCUUUGGCGGUGUGUUUGUCGAGAUCCGAUGAAUUGUGGAUUUGUGAUCAGAUUAUCUAUGAAUUAUAUUUGAGUCUUUGCUGAUUUCUUAUAUGCAAGAUUUGAUAUCCUUGUAAGUCUCUCCGAGUCUUGGGUUUUGUUUGGCCAACUAGAUCUAUGAUUCUUGCAAUGGGAGAAGUGCUUGGUUUUCGGUUCAUACCGUGUGGUGACCUUUCCCAGUGACACAAGGGGCAGCAAGGCACGCAUCAUGUUGUUGCCAUCAAGGGUAACAAGAUGGGCUUUUAUCAUAGAUAUGAGAUUGUCCAUCUACAUCAUGUCAUCUUGCUUAAGGCGUUACUCUGUGAUACGUCUCCAUCGUAUCAACUUUUCCAAACUCUUUUGCCCUUGUUUUGGACUCUAAUUUGCAUGAUUUGAAUGGAACUAACCCGCACUGACGCUGUUUUCAGCAGAAUUGCCAUGAUGUUGUUUUUGUGCAGAAAUGGAAGUUCUCAGAACGUCCUGAAAAAUUACGUNAUACGUCUCCAUCGUAUCAACUUUUCCAAACUCUUUUGCCCUUGUUUUGGACUCUAAUUUGCAUGAUUUGAAUGGAACUAACCCGCACUGACGCUGUUUUCAGCAGAAUUGCCAUGAUGUUGUUUUUGUGCAGAAAUGGAAGUUCUCAGAACGUCCUGAAAAAUUACGUAGAAUUUUUCUGGAAAAUAUGAAAAAUACGUGCGCAAAGAUCCAUCGGAGGGGAUGGGCCAGUGGGCCACAAGCCCUGUUGCCGCGGCCUCCCCCAUGGCCGCGGCGACCAAGCUUGUGGGGCCCACGUGGGUCUGCCGCCCCCAACUCCAGCUCUAUAAAUUCACUUUCUUUCCGAAAAAAGUCAGAAGAGAAGAUUUCAUCGCGUUUGCGAUACAGAGGCGCCGCCACAUCUUGUUCUUCAUCUGGAGGGCAGAUCUGGAGUCCGUUUUGGGCUCCGGAGAGGGGAAAUCGUCGCCAUCGUCAUCAUCAACCUUCUUCCCUCUCCAAUUCCAUGAAGCUCUUCAUCGUUCGUGAGUAAUCUAUUCGUAGGCUCGCUAGGCGGUGAUGAGUAGGAUGAGAUCUAUCUUGUAAUCGAGUUAGUUUUGACGGGGAUUGAUCCCUAGUAUCCACUAUGUUCUGAGAUUGAUGUUGCUACUACUUUGCCAUGCUUAAUACUUGUCACUAGGGUCCGAGUGCCUGAUUUCAGAUCUCAAAUUAUUAUGUUGUCACCAAUAUAUGUGUGUUUUAGAUCCGAUCUUGCAGGUUGUAGUUACCUACUAUGUGUUAUGACCCGACAACCCCGGAGUGACAAUAACCGGAACCACUCCCGGUGAUGACCGUAAUUUGAGGAGUUCAUGUGUUCACCAAGUGCUAAUGCGUUGUUCCGGUACUUUAUUAAAAGGAGAACCUUAAUAUCCCGUAGUAUCCUUUUGGACCCCGCUGCCACGGGAGGGAUGGACAAUAGAUGUCAUGCAAGUUCUUUUCCCUAAGCACGUAUGACUACACACGGAAUGCAUGCCUACAUCACAUUGACGAACGGGAGCUAGCCACAUAUCUCUCCGUGUUAUAACUGUUGCAUGAUGAAUGUCAUCCAAACGAAUCACCGACCCAUUGCCUACGGGUUUGUCCCACUGCUGCUGUUACUUGUUUUGCUCUGCUGCUAUUACUACUGUUGCUGCUACUGUUACUUGCUUUGCUCUGCUGCUGUCACCACUGUUGCUACUGUUGCUACUUGCUACUGCUAUUACUUGCUACUGUUGCUACUUGCUACUGCUAUCACUACUGCUGUUCCUUGCCACCGCUGAUACUCGUUACACUGCUACUACUUGCUAGAAUACCUUUUUUCUUGCGCCGUUGACGGGAAAGAAUAUUUUCCGUCCACGGUCAACUUCUGGCGCCAUUGAUAUGACCGUUAGGAAUAGUCUGCCAUCAACAAAUCGUUUCUGACACUGUUGUUAUCAUACUACUUUGUUGCUGAUACUUUGCUUGCAGAUACUAAUCUUUCAGGUGCGGUUGAAUCUGACACAUUCAGCUGCUAAUACUUGAGAGUAUCCUUUCACUUCCUGACGGGCGAACCAACAAAUUUGGGUUGAAUACUCUACCCUCGAAAACUGUCGUGAACCCAUGCGCUGGUGGGCCAUUGCAAGACAAUUGCUAAUUGUUGAGCAACUCGGAGCAAUUCUGGCUCUGUUGUCGCGAAGGCAUCAAUUCAGGGACACGUCAACAACAUUCUUCUAGUGUCGUUGCCGGGGACUGCCGUCAGCAGCAUUUUUUUGGCACCGUUGCCGGGGUAGGGAUUGCUAUAUUCUCUGAGUCACUUGGGAUUUAUAUCUGCUGAUCACUAUGAAGAAUCUGAAAGACCCAGAAACCAAAGUCUUGCCCUCAACUACGAGGGGAGGUAAGGAACUGCCAUCUAGCUCUGCACUUGAUUCACCUUCAGUUAUGAGUAAGUUUGCGACAUCACCUCCUUCUAGAAAUCUUGAUAUGUCGCCUGUGCUUGAUGAUGCUUAUGAUGCUACUGCUAGAGAUGCUAUGCCUGAUACUGCUAGAGAUGCUAUGCCUGAUACUGCUUUGCCUGAUGAUGCUAGAGAUGCUAUUUUGCCUGAUGAUGCUAUGCUUGAUACUGCUAGAGAUACUACUUUGCCUGAUGUGCCACUAGGGGUAUUCCUUGAUGCUCAUAUUGCUAGAGUUACUGCCAAUGCUCGUGAUGCUUCUGAAACUGCCGAUACUAUUGAGAUAGAACCUGCUUUUGCUCCUGCUAGAUCUAGCUCUCCUAGAUAUGAAUUGCCUGAUAUACUUGAGGGUUACGUUAUGGAGGGAGAGAUAGCUGAGGAUUUUCUUGCGUGUAAGGAUACCUAUGACACUGAGAAAUUACUUCUCAAGUGGAAGGAAAAAUCUCUGAAAGCUAGGAUGAAAUACGACCCGAAGUUUGCCACUUCACCUAUCUUUAUCACCGAUAAGGAUUAUGAAUUCGCCCUAUAGNNNNNNNNNNNNNNNNNNNNNNNNNNNNNNNNNNNNNNNNNNNNNNNNNNNNNNNNNNNNNNNNNNNNNNNNNNNNNNNNNNNNNNNNNNNNNNNNNNNNAGAGAAACUUACCUGCGCUCACCUGAAGCGGCCCAGCCCAUCAGGGGCACCACUGUCUUCUUCCUCCUCCCAGGAGGAGAAGCAGUUGCGUGCCCGACGCAUCGCCGGGCACCGCCACGUCCCCUAGCCACCUCCUGCUCGCCCCCGUCCUUAUCUCCUCGCCCGUGGAUGCCCCAGACCCCCCCUUGAGCUCAUCCUCCUCUCCUCUCUCUAGGUUCCCCUUCUCUCUCUCUGCUUUCCCUCGUUGCCUCCAUUGCCGAGCUAGAGCUCGAGCUCGCCUCUCUGGUCUCCGGCCUUCCCUCGCCUCUCCGAGAAGCCCAGAAGGACCGCCCCGAUGCCCUGCUCCUCCUCGCCAUUGGAAUCGAGCCCGGACGACCCCUGUCGUCGCCAUCGCCGUUGUCUUCCUCACCUCCGGCCACCGGCCCCCUUCCAUCGAUUCACCCCCUCCGACGCGACCCCGACCUCCCCGUCACCGCAAAUGGAACCGUCGUGAGCUCACCGUCAUUUCCCCUCUCUUUCCACGUUCUCCCGUGCCGUGUAGCCCCGCUCCCCGCCACGGCCGAACCCCGCCGCCGCUUAGGCUCGUCGCCGGCACCUCUCCGGCGACCUAGCCCCCCCUUCGAGCCCCCUGUGCGAUGUGGUCGAGCCUGGGCUACGCCCAAGUGCUCUCAGCGCUUGUUUCCGGCCCCUGUAGUGCCAUCUAGGCAACUCCGGCGAGCCCUCCGCCGCGGGCUUGGUCGCCAACGACCACCCUCCGGUGAGGGCCAACGUGGCCAGUCGUUAGCCAGUACUAACCCCCCCCCCCAGAGCCACUGCCAGAGGGCCCCACGCCUGGUCAAACCCCAAUUAGGGGCUGGUCAGCGCGGGGUUAGCCUCUGGGUCACUGACCAGUGGGCCCCACUGGUCAGGGUUUGACCUGGCCGGCCAGUUGAACUGCUGACGUCAGUACUGAUGCAAUAUUAGUAUUUCUGUUUAUAAAAUAAAUCCAGGAAAUUGCUAAAACUUGUAAAAAUCAUAGAAAUUAAAAUAUAACUCGGAUGAAAAUAAUUUAUAUAUGAAAAAGUAUCAGAAAAAUCCAAGGAAUCUGAUUAUGGCAUUUUCNNNNNNNNNNNNNNNNNNNNNNNNNNNNNNNNNNNNNNNNNNNNNNNNNNNNNNNNNNNNNNNNNNNNNNNNNNNNNNNNNNNNNNNNNNNNNNNNNNNNACUCACUAUAGGGCGGGCAACAUAUUUUAAAAACACCGACAACCGACCGACGGUAGACCGAAUACGGUGCCGCUACGGUCGACCGUUCGGGUACUAGACGGACUCCGAUUGCGAUGAAACUUGACACGCGGCCUACCUAUAUUAAAAUACGACCGCACGUCAAAUAUCAACCCAAUCAGAGAAGGUUUUAUGCACACUUUUAAAACAAGGUUUUGACGAUGCCGCGGGCGCGUGCGUGUGCGGUCGGGCUCAGAACGGACAACGACGAGAACCGGCAACAAACAACGGAUGCAAGUUUUGGAAACUGGCGGCAACGGAGAUGCCGAUGCAAUGCAGAUGAUGCGCAUGAUGCGAUGAUGAUGCAGCAAAAGAAAAUAGACACACGACGAAAACGGAAUAGAAGGGGAAUCUUCUGGAACGUCGGCCUCGGGCUGUCACAACUCUCCUACACUAUAAGAGGAUCUCGCCCCGAGAUCCAAGAAUGAAAGGAAGAGGGGAUAAGAAAGCAAGAGGUAAAACUUAAUCGCUUCUUUGACAAAUGAGUGAAACCAACAUCCUUGAAGGUUGCAAAGAGAUGAGGAAUGAUAAGAGAAACAAGCAAGAAUUCACGGAAAAUUUCGGCAGCACUUCGGUAGGAAAAUGGGACAAAAAAUUCGAUAAGAUAGGAGAAAUAGACAAUAUUCAUUACAAACAACUAAAUAGAACAAGGGAACACUAUGAUCUUGGUAGACCAACAUAAUAGACCCAAAAGAGCAACAUCACAAUGCCUCCGGAACAAUAGAAUAGGAACUAGCUCAUACGGAAGAAGAGAAUGAAGAGAGAAUGACAACUACUCACUCCAAUGAACUUGGCAAGCAUCCUUGCAAGAAGAAUUGGACGGAGUUGUUGGAAAACAACAGCGAAAGAACAAGAAAGUAGUGGGCUUAUGGAAACCUUUUCAAACUAAUGAAGUGACAACCAGCCACUAACAGAACAAGGAUUGAUUGGGAGAAACAAGAUAUGAACAAUUCCUUACACCAAGAGGAUACAUUGAGAACUUGGAUUAAUGACAAGCACCAUGAUAGCAACAAUCCAUAGGAAAAUCUUUAGGUGAAAUCCAAACCAAGAUAGCUCAAUGAAGAAAUCAUGGGUUGAAAACAUCUCAUGAUCAUAGAAUUGGUGGGUUUAAUUAUCUCAUUCUUGAAAGGAAAUCUCUUCGAAACUCCUACACUAACAAGAAUGCUAUAAUACCACCUCAAAGGAUAAAGGAGAACAAUUGCACAUAGAAAUGCAAGAGAAGAAAACUUGAGGUUCUCCAAUAAGAAUCUUGAAGAACACUUUGAGAAUGAAUUGACAUCAUGAGCCGCUCCGGAAGAAGAAUUCAGAUUACUAUGAACAAGAAUAAGAAUUAUGUUAUGCUUAUCCUUCAUCAAAUUAAGUUGAUGAGAAGCAACGGAUUUAGCAUACCACUUAUUCUUCUUGAAAGAACCUUGAAGAGAUAGAGAGAUAAGCACCACUUGAAGCACAAUUGAAUGAAGCACCGGCAAGAAUUCGAGCUCNNNNNNNNNNNNNNNNNNNNNNNNNNNNNNNNNNNNNNNNNNNNNNNNNNNNNNNNNNNNNNNNNNNNNNNNNNNNNNNNNNNNNNNNNNNNNNNNNNNNGAGAUUUGAAAACAAGCGGGGCAACUGGACUACGGGGUCAGAGGGGAUGACUGCUCCACCUAUACUAAGCAGAUUUAAAGUACAGGACUGAAAGUAGCAGUUCAUCAAAAAUAGGUUAUGCAUCAGAUAUAGGAGCUAACUACAACAGUAGCAAAAUACUAAUGCAAGCAGUAGGAAGAAAGACAUAGGCAAUAUAGGAAUGAUCAAGGGGGGGUUUGCUUGCCUUGCUGCUCUGCGGCAAAGGACUGAUCGGCAGGGUCAUAGAUGUACCCGGCAGCAGAGUCAGUCUCGGGGCCUACCGGUAAGAAGAGGGGGAAGAAACAAUAAAUAAUAGCAACGGUGUGUUGGAAUUAUGCCCUAGAGGCAAUAAUAAAUAUAGUUAUUAUUAUAAUUCAUGUAUCAAGAUAACCGUUUAUUAUCCAUGCUAUAAUUGUAUUGAAUGAAGACUUAUAUACAUGUGUGGAUACAUAGACAAAACACUGCCCCUAGCAAGCCUCUAGUUGGCUAGCCAGUUGAUCAAAGAUAGUCACUGUCUUCUGAUUAUGAACAAGGUGUUGUUGCUUGAUAACUGGAUCACGUCAUUAGGAGAAUCACGUGAUGGACUAGACCCAAACUAAUAGACGUAGCAUGUUGAUCGUGUCAUUUUGUUGCUACUGUUUUCUGCGUGUCAAGUAUUUGUUCCUAUGACCAUGAGAUCAUAUAACUCACUGACACCGGAGGAAUACUUUGUGAGUAUCAAACGUCGCAACGUAACUGGGUGACUAUAAAGAUGCUCUACAGGUAUCUCCGAAGGUGUUCGUUGAGUUAGUAUGGAUCGAGACUAGGAUUUGUCACUCCGUGUGACGGAGAGGUAUCUUGGGGCCCACUCGGUAAUACAACAUCACACACAAGCCUUGCAAGCAAUGUGACUUAAUGUAAGUUGCGGGAUCUUGUAUUACGGAACGAGUAAAGAGACUUGCCGAUAAACGAGAUUGAAAUAGGUAUACGGAUACUGACGAUCGAAUCUCGGGCAAGUAACAUACCGAAGGACAAAGGGAAUGACAUACGGGAUUAUAUGAAUCCUUGGCACUGAGGUUCAAACGAUAAGAUCUUCGUAGAAUAUGUAGGAUCCAAUAUGGGCAUCUAGGUCCCGCUAUUGGAUAUUGACCGAGGAGUCUCUCGGGUCAUGUCUACAUAGUUCUCGAACUCGCAGGGUCUGCACACUUAAGGUUCGACGUUGUUUUAUGCGUAUUUGAGUUAUAUGGUUGGUUACCGAAUGUUGUUCGGAGUCCCGAAUGAGAUCACGGACGUCACGAGGGUUUCCGGAAUGGUCCAGAAACGAAGAUUGAUAUAUAGGAUGACCUCAUUUGAUUACCGGAAGGUUUUCGGAGUUACCGGGAAUGUACCGGGAAUGACGAAUGGGUUCUGGGAGUUCACCGGGUGGCAACCCACCCCGGGGAAGCCCAUAGGCCUUGGGGGUGGCACACCAGCCCUUAGUGGGCUGGUGGGACAGCCCAAGAAGGCCCUAUACGCCAUGGGAAGAAAAUCAAAGAGAAAAGAAAAAAAAGGAGGAGGUNNNNNNNNNNNNNNNNNNNNNNNNNNNNNNNNNNNNNNNNNNNNNNNNNNNNNNNNNNNNNNNNNNNNNNNNNNNNNNNNNNNNNNNNNNNNNNNNNNNNUCAACAGCGGCUAAGCAUAUAUUUGGUGGCUAACUUACGAGUACAAGAAAUAAUAGGGAAGAUCUACGCAUAACGGACGUGAGCUACUGAUGAUCAAAAGAAUGAUCCUGAACACCUACCUACGUCAGACAUAACCCCACCGUGUCCUCGAUCGGAGCAGGGCUCACGAAAGAGACAGUCACGGUUACGCACACAGUUGGCAAGUUUUAAUUAAGUUAACUUCAAGUUAUCUAGAACCGGUGUUAAACAAAGCUUCCACGUUGCCACAUAACCGCGGGCACGGCUUUCCGAAAGAUUUAACCCUGCAGAGGUGCUCCAACUAGUCCAUCACAAAUUACCACAAGCCGCAUAGAAAUCCUCAAUCACGAAGCUCGCGAUCUCGUCGGAUUCCCUAGUGGAAAACCUCAACUGUGAGAUUACCCAAAGCAUCACCGGAAUCCCGAUGCACAAGAUAUCUCGUCAAAGGUAAAACUAAUCCAGCAAGGCCGCCCGACGUGUCGACGAUCCCGAUAUGAGUCGCGUACCUCGUUCUCAGGACACGACGGAUGAGCGAUGGUUACCACGCCAAACGCCGAGUUGCCCCGGGUAGCAUUAAUAAGCUGCUCUGUUUUGGACCAACACUCAUGAGGAGCACUGGCCCGGGGGUUUAUUAAAAUAGUCCGCGGGUGCCGGCGGGUCCCUAUGCAUUAUUAUUAGGUUAUUAGGCAAAUGUAGUACCAAAGUUGGGCCUUGCCAGACCAGCUUUAAUCUAAAACGAAUUAUCAAGGGGGUCCCCAUAACAACCCCGAUCGUGUUAGGAGCGCUCAAUUAUGGAACAUAACACCGGUAGCCGGAAACUAAGGGGGCAAAGGUGGAACAAAACACCAGGCUAGAAAGGCCGAGCCUUCCACCUUUUACCAAGUAUAUAGGUGCAUUAAAUUAAAUAGCAUUUAAAUAUGGUGAUAUAACAAGGAACCCAUGUAAUCACAUGGAAUCAACUGCACCUGCAACUAGCAACGCUAUCAACAGGGUUAAGCUAGCAGUAACAUAGCCAAUAAGUGGUUUGCUAGGUCGAACAGGUUGAAGGUUUCAUGGCAUUGUUGAGAGGCUAAUAUUUAACAUGUGGUAGGCAACGAGACAUAAACGGUAGCAACGGUAAAACUAGCAUGGCAAUGAUAGUAAUGGUAUCUGGGGAAAUGGUCAUCUUGCCUGAGAUCCCGCUUGGAAGAAGAACAUCUCUGUGAAGCAGGCGAACCAACGUAGUCGAACGGGUCCUCACAUUCCGACACGCUUGCGGAACUCUAUCGAGACGGAGCAAACCGGAAACAAAUAUCAACACAGAUAUUCACCACACGAUGCACAACAUGAUGCAUACCCUAAUAUGAUGCAUGAUCAAUUCAAUAUGCAAGGGAUGGCAUGGCAAAUCACCUCACGCAAACACUACACAUCAAUUGAAGCUCGAUAUGCAACGGGUUACAUACCGACGAAACUCCACGAUUAAUUAUUUAGUUCACUCCCGUUUAUUUACACGGCAACAUUAAAUGUUGUUAACAUGGCAAGGGGUGAAGCGAUGAUCCUACGUGUCAUCCUAGUCGGUUUAACUCGCGGAACAAGAGCGGAACUACGGCACGGGAGACAUGCAACACAAGAUCAUAUGCCAUGAAUGCGUCAUGCACGCAAGUUCAAACAUCACGGGCAAGAAGAGAAGGAAACAUGUGUCGCCACGGCAAGCGAGAGGGAACCAUGGCGGCAAGACGGAAACGAAGCCACGACAACGUUCCCAUCCCGAUACUCGUCGAGAUAUCGUGCCAACGAUCUGGAAGCGUGUGCGGGAUCACUAAAUAAGAAUGGGGUGAUCCCGUAUAUCGGGUUCCCAUGUGUCGAGGCACGACGAAAGAAGACAACGGGCAACGGGCCACAUACGGUGCAAACAUACAUUCAACUCAUACAACACAUGCAUACGGUUCUCGACGCGUACCAACGGUAUACNNNNNNNNNNNNNNNNNNNNNNNNNNNNNNNNNNNNNNNNNNNNNNNNNNNNNNNNNNNNNNNNNNNNNNNNNNNNNNNNNNNNNNNNNNNNNNNNNNNNNGUCGUGUGAUUAGAUUUAUUCGUUGCAUCGUCAUGUAGUUUGCAUCAUCGCAUCAUGCAUGGCAUCAUGUCAACUGUGUUUAGUCGGUGUCGCCUGCUGCUCCGUGUUGUUGGGUGAUAGUGCUUCAUGAGUGGCGUUGUUUUGUUGGAGUGAUGAAAGAGGGUGCGUGAGAGCCACCGCUAAGCCCUGUUGCACCGCGGACCUAAAACCUUCUCUCCCCUCUCAUUUCCUUUUUGUGGUUUGGCUAAAUACUUUAGUUUAGUUCCCUAUUUUAAAAAUUAAAGAUUCGUCUUCUUUUAAAGAAAAAACAUUUUAUUAAAUGUGGAGGCAACCCCUUGAGUUUUCUUCAUUUUCUCCUUUUGUUUUAUCUUUAAACAAUCUCAUUUUCUUAUCUCUUUUAAAGAACUUUUAUUUUACACUUUAAAUAAAAUAGGUUUAUUUUAUUCUUUUAAAAAAGGGUUUUGAUUUUUAAUUCUUUAAAAGGUUUCAUUUUACUCUUCGAAAAGGUUUCAUUUUUAUUUGUUUAAAGAGCCCGAUCUAUUUUUAUAGUUGGAGCAUGUUUUAAGGAGCCCAAAAGUAUUUUUGUUUUAGUAAAUUCCUUUUCUUCUGGUUGUGGGUUCCUCUUUUUUUUUUAAAAACCAGCUAUUUUAUUUUUUUGUGCAAGACAUUUUUUUAUUUUAGAAGGAGAGGACCCAGACCAAGGCCCAGCCGGCCAAGGCCCAGGCCCCCUCCAACCCUAGCGUCGUGCUGCGCCUCUCCCUCGUCACCCACAGCGCCGUCUCCUCCCGAUUCUCGUCUCCUCGUUCCCUGCUCCGCCCUGCCGCCUCCAGGUCCCCUUGCCUCGCCGUGGCCACCUCCCUCGCCCUCUCUUCUCCCCUCUACGCGCCGCCAGCCCCAGGCCCGAGCCGCACCGCCCUGCCAGCGCCGAGCCCCCUGCUCGCCGGCCUCCCCUGGUCCUCCUCGCCAUGCGGUCUCCCGCGCGCAGCCGUCCAUCUGCACGUCGAGCCGCCUCUCUGCUCCCCGUCCCCUGCGCCCGCAUCGCCGCCGGUGCCCGACCUGCGCGCCGCCCUCGCCCCCGAGUUCCCCGCGUGCUCGCCCUCGGCCUCGAGCUCGCCGCCCCGGUCGCAGCCUCCCUGCCAUGGCGACCUCGCCGUUCCCCGCGUCGCCCCUCNNNNNNNNNNNNNNNNNNNNNNNNNNNNNNNNNNNNNNNNNNNNNNNNNNNNNNNNNNNNNNNNNNNNNNNNNNNNNNNNNNNNNNNNNNNNNNNNNNNNGACUCACGGGAAGAUAUCACAACACAACUCUAGACACAAAUAAAAUAACAUCAGCUUCAUAUUACAAGCCAGGGGCCUCGAGGGCUAGAAUACGAAAGCUCGAUAAACACACGAGUCAGCGGAAGCAACAAAAUCUGAGUACAGACAUAAAACAUGGGGUGCCUUAGAGAAGGCUAGCACAAAAGAUACAACGAUCGAAUGAGGCGAGGCCUCCUACCUGGGAACCUCCUAACUACUCCUGAUCAUCAGCGGCCUCCACGUAGUAGUAGGCACCGUCGGGGUAGGAGUCGUCGUCGGCGGGAACCUCCAUCUCCUGGGCUCCAUCAUCUGGUCGCAGCAACGGAUCGAGGGGACAAGAGGGGGAGCAAAGCAGAAGUGAGUACUCAUCCAAAGUACUCGCAAGUCUUACAUCAGAACUAUUAUAAUUAUGCAUCAGUAUCAAAGAAGGGGGGGCUAUAUGUGGACUGACUGCAGCAAUGCGAGAAUAAAGAGAGAAGGCCUAGUCCUAUCGAAGACUAGCAUCUUCAGGGUCUUGCAGCAAUAGACGAGAGUAGAACAGGGGUAACACAUUAAAAGUCAUAUUGUUGCAGCAAUAUUAAAGUGAGGUCAUGCCUAAAGAUCCUCCCUCGACUCCCUGCGAGGAAGCAAUCCCGAGGCAAACUAAUUCCAGUUAAGUAACAAUUGUAGUUGUAUAAGAUCGGGGCACAACUCCAAGUCGUCCUNNNNNNNNNNNNNNNNNNNNNNNNNNNNNNNNNNNNNNNNNNNNNNNNNNNNNNNNNNNNNNNNNNNNNNNNNNNNNNNNNNNNNNNNNNNNNNNNNNNNAGUUGCUACUCAUGCUAAGUGGUUUCAACUAUUUACUGUGACAAAAUCAGGUCAUGCAAAGGAAUGGGUUCAACUACCGAUAACAUGUACAGUUGAAUCGUGUUUGUCCUAACGCAGUAAAAGAGAGCAGGAGCGAGAGAGUGGGUUUAUUUCAAUAUGCUCAAGGGGGUUUGCUUGCCUGACACGUCUGAAGAUAGCAAUGAGUCUUCAUCAAUGUCAACGAUCACAUCGUCGGAAACAUCGUUUACCGAGAGGGAACAACACCGGCAAACAAGAAGGAACAACAAUUACUUCACAGAAAUGCAACACUAUGAUGCAUGCUCAAGACAUGAAAUGAAAGGUGGCAGGCCUAAUGUGGCUAUCAUUACUUAAAUUGAAGUUGGUUUGAAUUAGGAUCCAAACAUCACUUCAAGCCGGUUAUUUUUCCGGAUACCCUUUUAAUUGAUUCAACCUGAAGCUCAAAACAAAUUGUUCCAACAUGUAUGGAGUUAGUAUCUUGAGGUACUGAUUUGCAUUGACCCUUGUUUGGUCAUAACAAUUGAAGUGAAAAUCAAAUAAGUAUCAAUUUCCAACUCCAAACUAUUUAUUAAAUUUACCCUAUUCAUCAUUUUGCCUAUUUAGUGUUGUUAACUUUUUCAAACAUGCAUGAAAAUGCCAUAAUCAGAUUCCUUGGAUUUUUCUGAUACUUUUUCAUAUAUAAAUUAUUUUCAUCCGAGUUAUAUUUUAAUUUCUAUGAUUUUUACAAGUUUUAGCAAUUUCCUGGAUUUAUUUUAUAAACAGAAAUACUAAUAUUGCAUCAGUACUGACGUCAGCAGGUCAACUGGCCGGCCAGGUCAAACCCUGACCAGUGGGGCCCACUGGUCAGUGACCCAGAGGCUAACCCCGCGCUGACCAGCCCCUAAUUGGGGUUUGACCAGGCGUGGGGCCCUCUGGCAGUGGCUCUGGGGGGGGGGGUUAGUACUGGCUAACGACUGGCCACGUUGGCCCUCACCGGAGGGUGGUCGUUGGCGACCAAGCCCGCGGCGGAGGGCUCGCCGGAGUUGCCUAGAUGGCACUACAGGGGCCGGAAACAAGCGCUGAGAGCACUUGGGCGUAGCCCAGGCUCGACCACAUCGCACAGGGGGCUCGAAGGGGGGGCUAGGUCGCCGGAGAGGCGCCGGCGACGAGCCUAAGCGGCGACGGGGUUCGGCCGUGGCGGGGAGCGGGGCUACGGGGCAUGGGAGAACGUGGAAAUAGAGGGGAAAUGACGGCGAGCUCACGACGGUUCCAUUUGCGGUGACGGGGAGGUCGGGAUCGCGUCGGAGGGGUUGAAUCGAUGGAAGGGGGCCGGUGGCCGGAGGUGAGGAAGACAAUGGCGAUGGCGACGACAGGGGUCAUCCGGGCUCGAUUCCAAUGGCGAGGAGGAGCAGGGCAUCGGGGCGGUCCUUCUGGGCUUCUCGGAGAGGCGAGGGAAGGCCGGAGACCAGAGAGGCGAGCUCGAGCUCUAGCUCGGCAAUGGAGGCAACGAGGGAAAGCAGAGAGAGAGAAGGGGAACCUAGAGAGAGGAGAGGAGGAUGAGCUCAAGGGGGGGUCUGGGGCAUCCACGGGCGAGGAGAUAAGGACGGGGGCGAGCAGGAGGUGGCUAGGGGACGUGGCGGUGCCCGGCGAUGCGUCGGGCACGCAACUGCUUCUCCUCCUGGCAGGAGGAAGAAUACAGUGGUGCCCCUGAUGGGCUGGGCCGCUUCAGGUGAGCGCAGGUAAGUUUCUCUCUCUCUCUUUUCCUAUUUUUCUUUUAUUUUCUUUCUGGCAUUUAGAUUUAGGAUUUUAAUAAAACAUUUAAUCAUUUUAUAAAACCCUAAAAUAGUAUUAUGUGACAGUAGUAAAAAUAAUCAAUGCCACAAANNNNNNNNNNNNNNNNNNNNNNNNNNNNNNNNNNNNNNNNNNNNNNNNNNNNNNNNNNNNNNNNNNNNNNNNNNNNNNNNNNNNNNNNNNNNNNNNNNNNAUUGAAUUCUUGGUUCUUGGUUAACUUUUCUGUGUGUGGGUUCUUAAGCUUAUGGUCUGUUGGGGAACAUUGCUGAGAAACAAAAAAUUUCCUACGCACACGCAAUACCUAUCCAUGGUGAUGAUCAUCUACCAGAGGGGAGAGUGAAUCUACAUACCCUUGUAGAUCGCUAAGUGGAAGCAUAUAUAACGCGUUUGAUGUAGUGGAACAUCUCCGCGAUUCAAAUCACAGCGUGUCCCGUGAUCUCAUCACGAUCCAUCCCGAUCUAGUGCCGAACGAACGACACCUCCGCGUUCAGCACACAUACAACUCGAUGACAAUCCCCACCUUGUUGAUCCAGCAAGAGGGGUGGAGAGGUAGAUGAGUUAUCCAACACGGAGGAAUGGUGGUGGUGAUGGUGGAUCUAUUCCAGCAGGGCUUCGCCUAAGCGUUGCUGAAAAACCGAUCUAGAGGAAGAACAAAUCUAGAGAGAAGUAGAGGGAGCAUGUGGCAAUUAGGGUUAGCCCUCACCUUUAAAACCUCUAGUAUAUAUAGGAGGGAGGGAGGGGAUGAGGCAGCCUCAAACCCUCAAGGUUUGGCCGAAAUUGGAGGUGCAGAAGUCCUACUCCAAUCCCACCAAGGGUAGGAUUCCCCUUCUCCACUUGGAAACCCUUUCCACCUUUUCCACCUUUGGGUUUCUUUCCUUCCCACCUCCAAUCCGCCUUGGGCUUUAUGGAGGCUUCGUACAGCCCACUAAGGCCUGGUCCAGAUCCUCCCACAGCCCAUGAGACCCUUUGGGGUGGGUGGGCCCACCUGGUGGACCCCAGAAACCCAUUCGUCACUCCCGGUACACUACCGAAAAUGUCUGAAACUUUUCCGGAGUUCAAAAACCACUUUCCUAUAUAUCAAGAUUUACCUCCGGACCAUUUCGGAGCUCGUCGUGAUGUCCAGGAUCUCAUCUGGGACUCCGAAAAACCUUCGGUUACCAACACCUAUAACUCAACUAUACCGAAACGUCACCGAACCUUCAGUGUGCAGACCCUGCGGGUUCGAAAACUAUGCAUACAUGACCUAAGACACUCCCCAGUCAAUAACUGAUGACCCUCAAGUAUAGGGGACCUAUCGUAGUCCUUUCGACAAGUAAGAGUGUCGAACCCAACGAGGAGCAGAAGGAUCCGACAAGUGGUUUUCAACAAGGUAAUAUAUGCAAGCACUGAAAUUGUCGGUAACAAGUAGUUGUGUGGUGAGAUGAUUCGUAGCAAGCAACAAGUAACAAAAGUAGCAAUGGUGCAGCAAAGUGGCCCAAUCCCUUUUGUACAAGGGACAAGCCUGGACAAACUCUUAUAGGAGGAAAAACACUCCCGUGGACACACGGGAAUUUCUGUCAUGCUAGUUUUCAUCAUGUUCAUAUNNNNNNNNNNNNNNNNNNNNNNNNNNNNNNNNNNNNNNNNNNNNNNNNNNNNNNNNNNNNNNNNNNNNNNNNNNNNNNNNNNNNNNNNNNNNNNNNNNNNNNNNNNNNNNNNNNNNNNNNNNNNNNNNNNNNNNNNNNNNNNNNNNNNNNNNNNNNNNNNNNNNNNNNNNNNNNNNNNNNNNNNNNNNNNNNNNNNNNNNNNNNNNNNNNNNNNNNNNNNNNNNNNNNNNNNNNNNNNNNNNNNNNNNNNNNNNNNNNNNNNNNNNNNNNNNNNNNNNNNNNNNNNNNNNNNNNNNNNNNNNNNNNNNNNNNNNNNNNNNNNNNNNNNNNNNNNNNNNNNNNNNNNNNNNNNNNNNNNNNNNNNNNNNNNNNNNNNNNNNNNGAUCUGAACAUAAACUCUUCCACCAAGUAAUCCAACUAGCAUCAACUACAAAGAGUAAUUAACACUACUAGCAACCUUACAAGUACCAAUAGGAGUCGCGAGAUGGAGAUUGGUUACAAGAGAUGAACUAGGGUUUGGAGAUGAGAUGUUGCUGAUGAAGAUGUUGAUGGUGAUGAGUCCCCUCCGAUGAGAGGAGUGUUGGUGAUGACGAUGGCGACGAUUUCCUCCUCCGGGAGGGAAGUUUCCCCGACAGGAUCGUCCUGCCGGAGCUCUAGAUUGGUUCUGCUCAAGUUCCGCCUCGUGGUGGCGGCGAAUCCUCCGAAAAGCCUCUUCGUGAUUUUUUCCAGACCGAAACCCUUCUUGUAGCAAAAGAGGGGGGCAAGUGGGCUAGCAGGGAGCCCACAAGCCCCCUAGGCGCGGCCAGGGGGGUGGCCGCGCCUAGCAGGCUUGUGGCCACUUGCUGGCGCCCCUGUGGCACUUCUUCGGCCCAGUAUUUUUUAUAAAUCCCAAAAAAAACCAUGUUGAUUUUCGGCUUUUGGAGUUGCGCAGAAUAGGCAUAUCAAACUUGCUCAUUUUUAGGCCAGAAUUCCAGCUGCCGGCAUUCUCCCUCUUCAUGUAAACCUUGCAAAAUAAGAGAGAAAAGGAAUAAGUAUUGUACCGUGAAGUGAAAUAACAGCCCAAAAAGCGAUAAAUAUCAACAUGAAAGCGUGAUGCAAAAUGGACGUAUCAACUCCCCCAAGCUUAGACCUCGCUUGUCCUCAAGCAAAAGCCUAGAUCAAUAAACAUGCCCACAUGUUUAGGGAGAGAGGUGUCGACAAAACAAGAUACGAACAUGCGGGCAUCAUGAUCAUGAUCAGAACAGCAAUACCAUCAUAUCAUCUCUUAUGCUAAAGUGACAAUUCAUUCACAAAGUAAAGUAUGGAUCAAGAACCUUACUGAGAAUUAACAACCGAUGGCCUUUAGUCAUUGAAGCAAUUGCAAUUUAUCACAACAUCAGAAAGAGUCAAAUAAGAGCUUGUAAAGCAAUCCACAUACUCAAUCAUCCUUUCGUUCUCUACAAUUGCUACAACUCACGUGGUACUCAUGAGAUCAAAGUUUCAGUUGGACACACAGAAAGAUAGGGGCUUAUAGUUUUGCCUCCCAACUGCUUACCUCAAGGGUAAUGUCAACAAUAAUAAUUCAUGAAUACUUACUUCCAAGUUGACAUAUGAAUAUAGAUCUUUCCCUAGCAUAUGACGUUAGCCAAGAUAAAGGAGAAAUAAGGAAUUGGUGAAGAUCACCAUGACUCUUUCAAGGGCAAAAAGUAAAGGUACAAGAUAGGCCCUUCGCAGAGGGAAGCAGAGGUUGUCAUGCGCUUUUGAGGUUUGGAUGUGUGUCCUCUUAGUGCGGAGGAACGUCACUUUAUAUUGCCUCCUGUGAUAAAGAACUUUAUUAUGCAGUCUGUCGCUUUUAUGUCUUCCUCAUCACAGGUUCGUACAAAGCUUAUUUCCACACACUAAUAGAUCAUACAUAUUUGGGAGCAAUUUUUAUUUCUUGCACCGAUGACAACUUACUUGAAGGAUCUUAUUCAAUCCAUAGGAAGGUAUGGUGGACUCUCAUGGCAAAACUGGGUUGAAGGUUUAUGGAUGCACAAGUAGUAUCUCUACUUGGUGCGGGAGUUUUGGCUAAUAUGAGGUGGAAGCAAUCGUCACAUGCUAAGGGAUCUCUAAUCAUAUAACAUUGUUCAGAACCAAGCAAACACAAUUCAUUAUGUUGUCUUCCUUGGACAACAUCUACUUCUAAGCAUGCAAUAGUUUAGUGAGUGUCCACAAUCAUAGAUGGUGUCAAAGAUGAGAUAUUUAUAUGUGAACCUCUCCUUCUUUAUCACUUCCUUUUAAUUGCAACAAUGACCAAGGUCUACGUUUGUCUACCCUCAACAAGUUUCAAUCAUCAUUCUUUUUAUAUGUGGAGCCAUCACUUCCCAUAAGAUCAUUACAUGAUCUUUCAUGCUUUUGUUCUUUUCUCAUCCUUUUGAUCAUGACAAGAGACAAAGCCCUUAACCAAGACACUCUUUAUUAUAUGGCUCACGAGCUCGAAUACAUCAGGGGUGACACAAAGCAAAACUCAAGCCUAAAACACUAAGACUUUUAUUCUACUAGAGAAAGAGAAAACUUAAAAGGAACAAACUAAAACAAAGGUAAAGGCAAAAGAGGUGAUGGUGAUACGAUUCCGGGGCAACUCCCCCAAGCUUGGCACAAGCCAACGGGAUUGCCCAUACCCAUGCUCAGUUGUCUUUCUUUGGAGGUGAUGGUGGUGGAGUUGUUGCAAUCUUUGAUUCCAAGAGGGCCAUUAAUCUUUAAUUUAUACCUUGGAGAUCUGUGAUAUGUUCCUCCAGCAAAACAACUUCACGAGCGAGAUAAGUAUUGCGAGCAUGAGUUGUUUCACAAGACCUCAAGAGUUCAAUCAAGGAUGGAGACAGUAGGUGGAAGUAGGGUUGGAGGAAAUCCACUUCUUCAACUUCUUCCUUGUUGAGCACAGAUUGCACUUCAUCCCACGCCUGAUUCUUCUCCUUAGUUUUGCCCUUGGUUUCUUUAGCUAGCCUUUACUUAGCCUCCAUGACCUCCAUCCUUUUUAGAUCAACACUUACUUCUCCAUAAACUUGAGGGAGAUUGUUCUCCCCCACAGAUUCCUGAGACAACAUCUUGCUCUAAAUUUGCGACAGAAAACAGGCUCGAAAUGAAAACAGAGGAAAUCUGCAUGAUACAAGGGUCAGACCUUUCGGGAGAUUAUAUAAUGAUUCUUUUCAGACCAGAAAGAGUACUCCGCACGAAAAUGGAGUCCGGGAGGCACACAAGGUGGCCAGAAGCCCCCCCAGGCGCGGCCAGGGGGUGGGCCCGCGCCUGGCAGGCUUGUCGCCUCCUCGCACGCUUUCCGGACUACUUCCAAUUUUUCUAUUUUUUCAAAUAUUCCAAAACGGAGAAAAAAAUCCUACUGGAAAAGUUUUGGAGUCUGUUUUCUUACCGAAUCACAUACCUCUUCGUUUUUGGAGUCUCGAACAGGCUGAUAAAUAUCCCUUAGGUAUUCUUCCGGAGUUCUGGUAUUGAUAAUAUUGCUUUCAACAUUAAUGGGAGUACGUGAGAUAUAAUGCUUGAUUCUCUGUCCAUUUACCACUCUCGGACAAUCACCUUCCAUGUUGUUGAUCUUGAUAGCACCGGAACGAUAUACUUCCUCAACAAUAUAGGGAUCUUACCAUUUAGAGAGAAGCUUGCCUGCAAAAAAGUCUUAAACGAGAAUUAUAUAGCAAGACAUAAUCACCUACAUUGAACUCACACUUUUGUAUCCUCUUAUCAUGCCACCUCUUAACCUUUUCUUUGAACAACUUGGCAUUCUCAUAUGCCUGAGUUCUCCAUUCAUCAAGCGAGCUAAUGUCAAAUAACCUCUUCUCACCAGCAAGUUUGAAAUCAAAGUUGAGCUCUUUGAUUGCCCAAUAAGUUUUAUGCUCUAGCUCAAGAGGUAAAUGACAUGCUUUACCGUACACCAUUUUGUACGGAGACAUGCCCAUGGGAUUCUUAUAGGAAGUUCUAUAAGCCCGCAGUGCAUCAUCGAGCUUCUUAGACCAAUUCUUUCUAGACCUGUUGACAGUAUUUUGCAGAAUCAGUUUAAUCUCUCUAUUGCUUAGCUCUGCUUGACCACUGGACUGAGGGUGAUAGGGAGACGCAAUUCUAUGGUUGACAUCGUACUUAGCAAGCGUUUUACGGAAAGCACCAUGAAUGAAAUGUGAACCACCGUCGGUCAUUAGAUAUCUAGGGACUCCAAAUCAAGGGAAAAUAACUUCUUUAAGCAUCCUGAUAGAGGUGUUGUGAUCAACACUACUAGUGGGGAUAGCUUCUACCCACUUAGUGACGUAGUCAACAGCAACUAGGAUAUGAGUAUACCCGUUGGAUUUUGGAAAAGGUCCCAUAUAAUCAAAGCCCCAAACAUCAAAUGGUUCAAUGACAAGUGAAUAGUUCAUAGGCAUGUCCUGACGUUUACUGGUAUUACCUAUUCUUUGACAUUCGUCACAAGACAAGACAAAUUUACGAGCAUCCUUGAAGAGAGUGGGCCAAUAGAAACCUGAUUGCAAUACCUUGUGUGCAGUUCUAUCUCCCGCAUGGUGUCCUCCGUAGGCCUUGGAGUGACACUUCUGUAGGAUUUGUCCCUGUUUAUGUUCAGGUACACAACGUCUAAUAACACCAUCUACUCCUUCCUUAUAAAGGUGAGGAUCAUCCCAAAAGUAAUGUCUCAAGUCAAAGAAGAAUUUCUUCUUUUGCUGGUAUGUGAAACUAGGUGGUAUAUAUUUGGCAACGAUAUAGUUUGCAUAAUAAGCAUACCACGGUGCACUACGUGAAGCAUUGAUGACACUCAAUUGCUCACCGGGAAAGCUAUCAUCAAUAGGUUGUGGGUCAUCAAGAAUGGUCUCCAACCUAGACAAGUUAUCUGCUACUGGGUUAUCAGCACAAAACAAAACAAAAGAAAAAGAGGAAAUUAGAAAGAGGAAAUAAUAGANUUCAACAUGAAAGUUGAUCAGCACAACGAGACGAACCCGGAUACACGGUCCAUUCGUGUGUCACGCGUCCCUAGCAUAGCAAACAUGGAACAUUUCCAUCGUUUCUAGUAUGACCGGUAGUAGCCCGAGACCCGAAAAAUAUUGUCAGAUAUUCUUCCGACCCGUCUAUGACGGAUGUUGCUGCGUUAGCUCAUGUCUAGCCUACAUCUUGCCAUGUCAUGCUUUGUGUUGCACCAUUGCUAUUAUUUAUUGUUUCUUCCCCCUCUUCUUACCGGUAGACCCCGAGACUGACGCUGCUGCUGGGUACAUCUACGACCCUGCCGAUCAGUCCUUUGCCGCAGAGCAGCAAGGCAAGCAAACCCCCCUUGAUCAUUCCUAUAUUGCCUAUGUCUUUCUUCCUACUGCUUGCAUUAGUAUUUUGCUAUUGUUGUAGUUAGCUCCUAUAUCUGAUGCAUAGCCUAUUUUUGAUGAACUGCUACUUUCAGUCCUGUACUUUAAAUCUGCUUAGUAUAGGUGGAGCAGUCAUCCCCUCUGACCCCGUAGUCCAGUUGCCCCGCUUGUUUUCAAAUCUCGAUCUCUGAUCGACGAGCCAGACCUGACACAACACUUACACCCCCUUCGUUGUACGAUGCUACAAGGAUACUAUCGGGUACCGAGGGUGACACCUCGCUAAGUACUCCUGAUGAUAUCUCUGUAGUAUAGCUAGUCGGUCGUGGUUAUCGAGGGUGAUUCCUCUUUCACCAUUCCCAAUGAUGCCUCUGUCGUGCAACCCCUCAAGUGUGGGACCCCCAAGGGUGAUUCCUCUAAGCCCACCUUGACGGGUACAUCAUUCGGAAUCCAACUAGGGUGAUACCUCGGAUCCCCCCCGAUGUUACAACCACACAGUUACUCGACCAUGUUACUGGGAUCGUUGAUGUUUAGUUGUAAGACGGGUGGAUUCCCGUGAGACUGUGUUGUUGGCCUAAUUAAAAUGUUAAUGGAUUUGGGUAUUUGAUCUGGGUUGGUUGGAGACCUUUUCGCACUAACCUGCUACGUGGGAAGAAUUAUGGGUACUCGGCGUCACGGUAUCAGCCGAAGCUUUUCAGAUGUCAGCAAUCGUAGUGGCGCAUGCCCGAGUGGUCUCGAGAUGCAUUGCGCUUGUGAUUAAGGGAUGCUAGGACUGACGUUGGCCGCCCUCGCAUCGUGCAGGAGCGCGGAGGGGAACUGGGCCCAUGAACCCUUUGCGCUUAGGAUUUAGACCGGCGGGCUGACCUCUCUGAUUAGUCUUAGGUGGGGCUGCGACGUGUCGAUAUUCCGAGGCCGGGCAGGACCCAGAAAAGUAUGUCCGGCCAGAGUGUUAUCGAGCGUGACAGGACAUGUGGUGCACCCCUGCAGGGAUGAAAAUUAACUAUUCGGAUAGUCGUGUCCACGGUUAUAGGACGACUUGGAGUUGUGCCCCGAUCUUAUACAACUACAAUUGUUACUUAACUGGAAUUAGUUUGCCUCGGGAUUGCUUCCUCGCACGGAGUCGAGGGAGGAUCUUUAGGCAUGACCUCACUUUAAUAUUGCUGCAACAAUAUGACUUUUAAUGUGUUACCCCUGUUCUACUCUCGUCUAUUGCUGCAAGACCCUGAAGAUGCUAGUCUUCGAUAGGACUAGGCCUUCUCUCUUUAUUCUCGCAUUGCUGCAGUCAGUCCACAUAUAGCCCCCCCUUCUUUGAUACUGAUGCAUAAUUAUAAUAGUUCUGAUGUAAGACUUGCGAGUACUUUGGAUGAGUACUCACUUCUGCUUUGCUCCCCCUCUUGUCCCCUCGAUCCGUUGCUGCGACCAGAUGAUGGAGCCCAGCAGAUGGAGGUCCCCGCCGCCGACGACUCCUACCCCGACGGUGCGUACUACUACGUGGAGGCCGCUGAUGAUCAGGAGUAGUUAGGAGGUUCCCAGGCAGGAGGCCUCGCCUCGUUCGAUCGUUGUAUCUUUUGUGCUAGCCUUCUCUAAGGCACCCCAUGUUUUAUGUCUGUACUCAGAUUUUGUUGCUUCCGCUGACUCGUGUGUUUAUCGAGCUUUCGUAUUCUAGCCCUCGAGGCCCCUGGCUUGUAAUAUGAAGCUGAUGUUAUUUUAUUUGUGUCUAGAGUUGUGUUGUGAUAUCUUCCCGUGAGUCUUUGGGUUUGAUCGUACACAUUUGCGUAUAUGAUUAGCAUAUGAUUAAAUCGAGGGCGUCACAAGUUGGUAUCAGAGCCGACUGCCUCUAGGUAGCCCCCUUUCCAACUCCUUGGCCGAAGUUUAGUCCAGUGUUUGAAAUACUUUACUAACACUGAUGUUGUGCCUUACGGGCCCACAUCUCAAUUGGGUGGUAUUAGUAUCUUUUACUCCUUCCUAUACUCUGGGUUCUACUCUCUCUUCUCUUUCGGGUCAAAGAUUUUACUAACUCUAACAUUAGGUUCUCGAAUCACAUCGACCCGGAGCGCUGGACUAUCUACUCUUUCUCCUGAAUAUAUAUUACACACACUGUCUUUUGACAUCCGUCAAUCUUAUUUUCAGAUGCGUCCUGCAAGACAGCACGUGCGCCUGACACAGGCCAAUGAGACGACUGGGUUCCCGGCCAUUUUGGUCGACCUCCUGACCAGGCUGGGAUAUCGCUGGUACCCCGAGUACACUGUGUUCGAGGAUUUCCGCGAGUACAACCAGUACCAGUACCAGGAUGAGGUUCGCAUCUUCGACCAGAGGGGAGGCAAGACCCUCGAGCGCCACGUCUUCUGUGGUAUUGGAGUGUCGGUCGAGAUGGCCGUCCAUGAUGUGGCCUACAUCGCCAUCACCUGUCUCCAUGGAGCGUACCCUCACCUGGAGGAGAGCCCUUUCAGAUACAUCCCGCAUGCUCCUGCUUGGGAUGAGACUGGGUCUGAUCUCACUGCCUACGCUUCUGAAGUUCGGGAGCGCAUCGACCGUUCCUACGUCGCUGUCUGCGCCCCCUACGUGACGCGUCGCUACGACGCACGGUUUCUGGUGCAGUACACUCAGGCAAUGGAUCGUGCUUUCCGAGCUCUAACUGUGGAGCUGUAUGCUACGCGCGCUCGUCUUUACGACGCGUUGACAGAGCUGCAACCAUCACACUGCCCGAGGGUUCCCCCCUAUGCGCAUCCGCGAGCCGAGCAGGACAGAGCUACCAUCAGCUCUCGAGUGGACUGAUGUUGGGGGUAGAAACCCUGCACUUGGACCUCAGCUCCUCGACUGGAUGCGGUACCCUCACCAGAGUCACAACGGGACACAGGGUCCUGUUACUACCUUCUAUCACCGCCAGCUACCAGGAUUCGAUCGUCCUCUCCGACGUUGAUGUAGCCUUAUCGCUACAUCUUGUUGUGGUACUCUUCCACCGCGUGCCUGCGCGCCGCCUAGUGAGUCCAGGGUAUCGUCUAAUGCGUCUGGGCUAUCGCAAAAUUUCGAAUUUGUAAUCGUUAGUCUGUACUCGAACUUAUGUGUGGGUCUGUAUGUCGAACUCAACUACUAUGGAGUAACUAUCGCAUUUCCCUUUCAUUAUGCUUGAUUACUUCGUGAAUGUGUGCGAUGCCUUUGCAAUUACUUUAAGCUAAACUACCCCUGUUAAAUAUUUAACAGGAUGGUUAGACCAGCUGGCCGCCCGCGUGCCCCUGCCAACGAUGCACCACCCCCGCCUCCUGAGUAUAUGGCGGGGAUGAUCCAACAGUUUGAGCUGAACCGUCAGUUUAUGCAAGGGCUCAUGGAUCAGUUCCAAAGGCCGAACAUGAACCAACCACAAGGCGUGACACUGCAAGACUUCUGCCGCCUCAACCCUGCGAUCUACCGCAGCUCAACUCAGCCUCUUGAUGCCGAUGACUGGCUCCGUGACAUUUCUUAUGAGCUGGAGUGUGCCAAUGUGCCCCAGGCGAGCUAUGUCAACUUUGCCGCCUACUUUCUGAAGGGUCCCGCUGCUCAAUGGUGGGACAGCCACAGGCGCUCUCAGCCCGAUGGAACUAUCAUCACUUGGGCAGAGUUCAAGGCUCCUUUCCGUGCUCGCUACAUUCCCUAGGGAAUCAUGGACUAGAAGAAGCGUGAGUUCCGCAACUUGGUCCAGGGCAACAAGACUGUGGAUGCUUAUCAGCGGGAAUUUCUCGACUUAUCUCGCUAUGCUGAAGAAGACAUUGCAACUGAUGCACGCAGGCAGGAGAAGUUCCGUGAAGGCCUCCACCCUGAUAUCAAGCUGACACUCCUCGUUCAGGACUAUGCUGAUUUCGCCACCCUGGUGAACAAGGCUAUUCAGGUUGAGACUGGUCUGCAGGAAUACAAAGAUAGCAGCAAGCGCAACCGUGACAUGGGCUCAUCUUCGGGCUCAUGUGCACAGAAGCGAAAGAUCUGGAUUCCCAACAACAUGUACCAUGCACCUGCUCCUGCUCCGAGGCUGUCCUAUGCUGCACCUCGCCUACCUCCUCCACCACCUAGGCAGCCGAGGCUUCCAGCUCCACCGCCUCGAGUUCCUCCUUCCCGUCCUGAGGACGGGCUGUGCUUCAAGUGUGGCCGUCCAGGUCACCGUGCUAGAGACUGCAGGCAGAAUCCGAAUCAGCUGACACUUCCCGCAACUGGCAGUGGCAACAACCAGAACCGCAACUUCAACGCUAAGCCUGCUUAUGUUCGUGGUCAGGCCAACAACAUUGAUAUGGGUCAAGCUCAAGACCAGCCUACUACCGUGAUGGGUACACUUCUCGUUAACUCAGUACCUGCUUCUGUAUUGUUUGAUACAGGAGCAUCACAUUCCUUUAUGUCGGAAAGUUUUGCAUUCAUGCAUGGCAUUAAGUACGAAGAGAUGAACGUCCCAAUAGUUGUAAACACCCCCUCGGGCCAAUGCCGACCCUCCAUGGUCUGCUCCAAUGUCCCAUUGAAAUUGAAGGAUUGGAAUUCUUUGCCUCUCCCAUGUUAUUAAGUUCUUCCAACAUUGAUCUCAUACCGGGGAUGGACUGGUUUAAAGCUCAUACGGCAUCGGUCGUUUGUGCCACCAAGACCGUCCACCUCCUACACCCUUCAGAUGAAUUAAUAAGCUACCAUGCUCAUCUCGUCCGUAAUGCUGAGGCACGGUUGUAUGCUUUGAAUGCAUUAAAUGCGUCGCCUCUUGAAGGGAUUGAAAACAUCCCAGUGGUCCGAGAAUUUCAAGAUGUCUUCCCAGAAGAACUUCCGGGGAUUCCCCCUACUCGAGCUGUCGAGUUUGUCAUUGACUUGGUACCCGGUACCACUCCUAUUGCAAAGCGCCCUUAUAAAAUGCCACCACAUGAACUCCUUGAACUUAAGCAAGAAAUUGACAACUCGCUCCGUCUGGGUUUCAUCCGUCCGAGUUCCUCUGCUUGGGGAGCACCUUCUCUCUUUGUUAAGAAGAAGGAUGGGACAAAUCGAUUGGUUCAAGACUAUCGUCCUAUCAACCAGGCCACUAUUCAAAACAAAUAUCCUCUCCCUCGGAUAAAUGAUUUGUAUGAUCAACUUGCUGGUUCCACCGUCUUCUCUAAGCUCGACUUGAGGUUGGGAUACCACCAGAUCCAUGUUCGCAAGGAGGAUAUUCCAAAGACCGCCUUUGUUACUCGAUAUGGAUCAUACGAGUACACCGUCAUGUCCUUCGGCUUAACCAAUGCACCGGCAACCUUCUCUCGAUUGAUGAAUUAUAUAUUCAUGGACUACCUCGACAAAUUUGUCAUGGUAUAUCUGGAUGAUAUUCUGGUAUUUUCGAAGAACAAAGAAGAGCAUGCUGAACAUCUUCGUCUUGUACUGGAUAAGCUUCGGGAGCAUAAACUCUAUGCGAAGUAUUGCAAAUGUGAGUUCUGGCUAGACGAAGUGACUUACCUUGGUCAUGUGAUUUCCAAGGAUGGUAUUGCGGUCAACCCCGAACGAAUUCAAGCUAUUCUUGUCUAGACUCCCCCGAAGAAUGUUAAGCAAGUCAGAAGUUUUCUCGGACUCGCCAGCUAUUGCCGUCGAUUUGUCGAGAACUUCUCCAAGAUUGCGAAGCCCUUAACCAAUCUGCUUCACAAAGGUGUUAAGUAUGAGUGGACUGAUAAAUGUCAGGAAAGUUUCCAGGCGCUCAAGGACAAACGUACGUCCGCUCGAGUACUUGCUCCUCCAGAUACGAAAAGGGAUUUCGUCAUAUACUGUGAUGCUUCUCGUCAAGGAAUAGGUUGUGUCCUAAUGCAGGAUCGCAAGGUGAUCGCUUAUGCUUCACGUCAACUGCGUGCUCAUGAAGAGAACUACCCAGUUCAUGAUCUCGAGCUUGCCACAGUCAUUCAUGCAUUGAAGGAAUGGUGACAAUACCUUGUCGGUAAUCGCUGUGAAAUCUACACCGACCAUCAAAGUCUGAAGUACUUGUUCACUCAACCGGAGCUGAACCUACGUCAACAAAGAUGGAUGGAGCGUAUAGCAGAUUUUGACUGUAGUAUAUCAUAUACCCCUGGCAAGGCUAACAUAAUGGCUGAUGCCUUGAGUCGCAAGUCAUACUGCAACCACCUCCAGGUUCAUAAGGUUCACGAUCGUCUGCAAGAGGAAUUCCGUAAGCUGAACCUCCACGUUGUUCCUCAGGGUUACCUUGUUCCCCCUCCUGAAGAGUGUCAAAAUAUGAACCUUCGUGUUGUUAAUCAGGGUUCCCUCAGUAACCUAGUGGUUGAACCAGAUCUUGUGAGCUCCAUAAAGAAUCUGCAAGGCUUUGACGAUGAUGUCGACAUGAUUAAGAGCUAUAUUGCGAAGGGUAAACCCUCCUUUUUCACUGUUGAUGAAGAUGGCGCCUUGUAUUUCAAGGGUCGCCUAUUCGUCCCAAAUAAGAAGGAAAAUCUCAGGAUGACCGGGAAGGUGAUGGAAGAAGCUCAUGACACACCAUUGUCUAUUCACCCGGGUAGUACCAAGAUGUACCAAGACAUCCGGCAAAGAUUCUGGUGGCCCAAUAUGAAACAAGACAUUGCAUGCUAUGUGGCAGAAUGUGAUAUAUGUCGGCGUAUCAAAGCAGAACACCAAAAGCCUGCUGGGACUCUGCAACCUAUCUCUAUUUCGGAGUGGAAAUGGGACCAUGUUGAAAUGGACUUUGUCACUGGUUUUCCCAGAUCUCAGAAAGGUAAUGAUGCUAUUCUUGUCGUCAUUGAUCGACUGUCCAAAGUUGCACAUUUCCUGGCCGUCAAAGAAACAAUUAAUGCUAGUCAGCUGGCAGAUCUUUAUAUGUCAAGAGUUGUUUCACUUCACGGUAUUCCGUUGGUAAUCAGUUCGGACCAUGGCAGCUUGUUCACUUCAAAAUUCUGGGAAAGUUUUCAGAAGGCUAUGGGGACUCAUCUGUCCUUCAGCACUGCAUUUCAUCCUCAAUCCCAGGGACAAGUUGAACGAGUCAACCAAAUUCUCGAGGACAUGCUUCGAGCUUGUGUCAUUUAUUUCGGUAAGAAAUGGGAGGAAUAUCUCCCGUAUGCCGAGUUCUCUUACAACAAUAGCUAUCAAGCUAGUCUGAAGAUGGCCCCUUUCGAAGUAUUGUAUGGGCGAAGGUGUCGAACUCCUCUGAAUUGGUCAGAAAUUGGGGAACGAUCACUCUUCGGUCCAGAUAUUAUUCAACAUGCCGAAGAUCAAGUCUGCAUUAUUCAUGAGAAUCUGAAGGCUGCUCAGUCUCGUCAGAAGAGUCAGUAUGACCGUCAUCAUCAAGAUAUGGUCUAUCAACCUGGCGAAAAGGCUUAUCUUCGUGUCACACCAAUGAGAGGUGCACACCGUUUCGGAAUCAAGGGCAAGUUAGCUCCUCGUUAUAUUGGUCCUUUCACUGUUAUCGAAAGGCGUGGAAGAGUGGCUUAUCAAUUGGAACUGCCGGCGAACCUUUCUCAGGUUCACGAUGUCUUCCAUGUUUCUCAGCUCCGUCGCUGCUUCAAGGACCCUAUUCGAGCAGUGGAUCACGAUAUGCUUGAGCUACAACAAGACCUCUCUUAUAAAGAGCAUCCGGUCCGCAUUCUUGACCAAGCUGAACGUAAGACUCGUCGCAAGGUCACCAAGUUCCUUAAGGUGCAGUGGUCAAAUCACUCUGAAGAUGAAGCCACUUGGGAACGCGAGGAUCAUCUUAGUGAUGAAUACCCCAGGCUCUUUCCCUCUACCUCUUAAUUCUCGGGACGAGAAUUCUUGUUAGUAGGGGAGAAUUGUGACAUCCUCGACUUUUGCUACAGUAAAUAUUGUAAUUAAGCUACAGUGAUCACCCGCUAAUGAUGCCACAUCAUCGAGAAUUACCGUCGUUGACCCGCAUUGAAUUUCUAUCCGGAUUCAGAAAUUGAAAACAAAAGAAAAGUAUAUUUAUAAAUUCAUAUUAACUAUUAAAGGAAGACAUGUAUAGAAAGAAAGUAUUAAAAAUAAUAAUAAUAAAAGAAAGAAAAGAAAAGAAAUUAAAAAAAGGAAAUUAGAAAGAGGAAAUAAUAGAAAAAGAAAAAAAACAAAAAAAAAGAAAAAAAAAGAAAAAA
RNAcentral lists this long non-coding RNA (34201 nucleotides) under Hordeum vulgare. RNAcentral describes it as "long non-coding RNA (HVUL_LNC010990)". The record is from RNAcentral. Lineage: Eukaryota; Viridiplantae; Streptophyta; Magnoliopsida; Poales; Poaceae.